AAUAAGUUUAUUUUUCAGUUUUUAGGUACAAUGUUUGACUCUUAGUCUUAUUUGAAUUUUUUUUACAAUUAAUAUUUUUAUUUUUAUUAUAUGAUAAAACAUGAAUAGUAUUUUACACGUAACUAAUUUUUUAAAAGUCUUUCUAGAAAUUUUUCAAAUAAGAUAGAGAGUCAAACGUUAGAUACAGAAAUUAAAAAAUAAAGUUAUA
RNAcentral lists this microRNA precursor (208 nucleotides) under Oryza brachyantha (malo sina). Its description in RNAcentral is "MIR812 microRNA precursor family". It matches the Rfam family "MIR812 microRNA precursor family". Lineage: Eukaryota; Viridiplantae; Streptophyta; Magnoliopsida; Poales; Poaceae. The record is from Rfam by way of RNAcentral.